This is a non-coding RNA of Triticum aestivum (bread wheat), 71 nucleotides long. Lineage: Eukaryota; Viridiplantae; Streptophyta; Magnoliopsida; Poales; Poaceae. The record is from Rfam.
GUCCACUAUUCAGUUGGUAGAGUACAAAGCUAUUAACCUUGUGGACGUGGGUUCACGCCCCAUGGUGGACA